AUUGAACGCUGGCGGAAUGCUUUACACAUGCAAGUCGAACGGCAGCACGGGGGCAACCCUGGUGGCGAGUGGCGAACGGGUGAGUAAUACAUCGGAACGUGCCCGGUCGUGGGGGAUAACGUAGCGAAAGUUACGCUAAUACCGCAUACGAUCUGAGGAUGAAAGCGGGGGACCUUCGGGCCUCGCGCGAUCGGAGCGGCCGAUGUCAGAUUAGGUAGUUGGUGGGGUAAGGGCCUACCAAGCCGACGAUCUGUAGCUGGUCUGAGAGGACGACCAGCCACACUGGGACUGAGACACGGCCCAGACUCCUACGGGAGGCAGCAGUAGGGAAUUUUGGACAAUGGGCGCAAGCCUGAUCCAGCCAUUCCGCGUGCAGGACGAAGGCCUUCGGGUUGAAAACUGCUUUUGUAUGGAACGAAAAGGCUCUGGCUAAUACCUGGGGCUCAUGACGGUACCGUAAGAAUAAGCACCGGCUAACUACGUG
Molecule: ribosomal RNA, 484 nt
Filed under: uncultured bacterium
Lineage: Bacteria
Description: partial 16S ribosomal RNA
Rfam family: Bacterial small subunit ribosomal RNA
Source: RNAcentral